CUUUGACACACUCCUCUUACUGAUACUACACAUAGACACACAAAAACACACGCAAGCACUCAGACACACAGAGAAAAAACAGCCAGACACACAGAGAAAAAAUUGCCCGACACACAAACACAGUCCUCAUGUGACACCAAACAGAGGAGGAUUUGGUAUGGGAAAGAAUCGGUGAGUACUCACCUCAGGCUCCCCCUGUGCUCCGCGGCUCCACUGCAGAAUGGGUUGGUUACGCCGUACACACACUCACACUAAAACACUCCGGCUGUGUGUGAAGACAAUGAGACCGGGCAAGUGAGGGAGCAGCAGGCAAAGAGAAAAAGAAGGGAGGUGUGAGGAGGGGGGAUUGGAAAGAGUGAUAGAGAGAGAGAGAGAGAAGGGGUUGUAUGGAAGAUAUAUGGUGUUCUUAUAGCCUAUGUGGAGAGAUGGAGAGAUGGAGGAGAGGAGAGAUGGAGGAGAGACAUAGGAGUAGAGAGAUGGAGGAGAGAAGAGAUGGAGGACAGAAGAGAUGGAGGACAGAAGAGAUGGAGUAGAGGAGAGAUUGAGUAGAGGAGAGAUGGAGUAGAGGAGAGAUUGAGGGGAGAUAUAGGAGUGGAGAGAUAUAGGAGUGGAGAGAUGGAGGAGUGGAGAGAUGGAGGAGUGGAGAGAUGGAGGAGUGGAGAGAUUGAGGAGAGAUGGAGGAGAGAUGGAGUAGAGGAUAGAUGGAGGAGAGGAGAGAUGGAGGAGAGGAGAGAUGGAGGAGAGGAGAGAUGGAGGAGAGGAGAGAUUGAGUAGAGGAGAGAUUGAGUAGAGGAGAGAUUGAGGAGAGAUGGAAUAGAGGAGAGAUGGGGGAGAGGAGAGAUGGAGUAGAGGAGAGAUUGAGGAGAGGAGAGAUUGGGGGAGAGGAGAGAUUGAGGAGAGAUGGAGGAGAGGAGAGAUGGAGGAGAGUGGAGAGAUGGAGGAGAGUGAAGAGAUGGAGGAGAGUGAAGAGAUGGAGGAGAGAUGGAGGAGAGUGAAGAGAUGGAGAAGAGAUGGAGGAGAGUGAAGAGAUGGAGGAGAGUGAAGAGAUGGAGGAGAGUGAAGAGAUGGAGGAGAGGUGGAGGAGAAUGAUGAGAUGGAGGAGAGUGAAGAGAUGGAGGAGAGUGAAGAGAUGGAGGAGAGAUGGAGGAGAAUGAUGAGAUGGAGGAGAGUGAAGAGAUGGAGGAGAGUGAAGAGAUGGAGGAGAGAUGGAGGAGAGUGAAGAGAUGGAGGAGAGUGAAGAGAUGGAGGAGAGAUGGAGGAGAGUGAAGAGAUGGAGGAGAGAUGGAGGAGAGUGAAGAGGGCAAAGAGGGAAAAAAUAAAUGGGUGCUAAAAACAAAAAAUCCUGAAAAAAAGGGUCCCAGACGAAGCCAGGUUUCUCUCAUUCUGUUCUUUUGUGUGUGAGUGAGUGUGUGAGUGAGUGUGUGCGUGUGUGUGUGCGUGUGCGUGUGUGUGUGUGCGUGUGUGUGUGCGUGUGCGUGUGUGUGUGUGUGCGUGUGUGUGUGUGUGUGUGUGUGUGUGUGUGUGUGUAUUUGGCACUUUGCCCUAAGAGAGAGACAGACCAGAAAGCAAAGAGGUUGAAGGGGCUGACAGUAUGAGAAUUUGUUUGUUCGUCAAUUGACUUCUGUCUUGUGCAUUCUUCUCAGUCUGGGUGACUUGCUGAUGUUGUGAAGGGGCCGAUGUCUUUUCUCCUCGUCUCUUCUCUCCUCUUCUCUGUCUUGUCGUUUAUUUGCUCACUCUGUCCAUCCACAUCACUGGUUGGGCUUCAAGUGAAAGCAGUACUUUCCUUCUUUUCUCCCCUCACACCCCUUCUCAGGGAAAUACUUCUACCGGAUUAGUGCUCUACUGUACUACCUUUUUCUCUCACUCCCUCUUUCCUUUUCUCAUUUUUCUGUCAUGCCCAGUUCACACUAGUGUGGUACACCCCCACCCAAAGCCCCUAGGGAUAAGUCAGAGACACACUCAUCCACACACACACUCGCACACAACCAGGUGUGUGAAGGAUUGGGAGAGCUCACAGAAAAGCCAAUCUCCACUCCCAAUUAUUCUGCUCUCAAGUCGCCGGAUGGAGAGAAGGAGAGAGAGAGAGCGAAGGAAGGAGAGAAAAUCUCUUUGAGUGUCUGCACAGAGGGGAAUUAAUUAGAAUGGAAAGAAAGAUAGAGUGGGUCUCUCUCGUUCCUCUGCUGGAGUCCUGAGAAUACUCCACAAUUAGCCAGAGUCCCAAACACAGCCUGCAGGGCUGGAGACAGGAGAGAGGGAAGGAGGGAAAAGAGAUAGAGAAAGAGAGGGAAAGAGAUUAAACCGAAAUGAAAAAUGCCAAAGGGACAUUUAGAAGCAGAAGUUGUUAGGAAAUGAUUUGAGUUUUUAUAUAUAUACCCGUCACACGGACUGGCUGUCCGGAGUGCAAUUCCUUUUUUCUCUCUUCUCUAUUCGUCUUUUUCUUUUCUCCUCCACUCCUCCAUACGUCCAUGGGGCUCUGGAUAAUCCAUAGAGGAAACUGGAACGUUUGGAGUAUCUUAAAUGGACAGAGUUCACUCUUCCUCUCUUUCUCCACUCUUUUUCCUCUCCUCUACCUCUUCCAGCUUGUUGGCUGAUCAUUUUCUUGACCACGGUGGUGACACAGAGUGUGUGGGUUAGAAGGGCGUGGGGGCUGGAGAGAAAAAAAGAAGGAUGGCUGGAUGGAUGGAGUGAGAGGGAAUAAGAUACAGGUGGAGUGAUGACACUGGGAGAAAUAGGAGCGAUGGAGGCAGGUGGAAGGGAUGAAGUGCAGCAGUCUGUGUGUGUGUGUGUGGAGGGGGGAUCCUUUCCC
Molecule: long non-coding RNA, 2806 nt
Organism: Oncorhynchus tshawytscha (Chinook salmon)
Lineage: Eukaryota; Metazoa; Chordata; Actinopteri; Salmoniformes; Salmonidae
Source: Ensembl